UAGGAUGAACGCUAGCUACAGGCUUAACUCAUGCAAGUCGAGGGGCAGCAUUUUAGUUUGCUUGCAAACUGAAGAUGGCGACCGGCGCACGGGUGAGUAACACGUAUCCAACCUGCCGAUAACUCCGGAAUAGCCUUUCGAAAGAAAGAUUAAUACCGGAUAGCAUACGAAUAUCGCAUGAUAUUUUUAUUAAAGAAUUUCGGUUAUCGAUGGGGAUGCGUUCCAUUAGUUUGUUGGCGGGGUAACGGCCCACCAAGACUACGAUGGAUAGGGGUUCUGAGAGGAAGGUCCCCCACAUUGGAACUGAGACACGGUCCAAACUCCUACGGGAGGCAGCAGUGAGGAAUAUUGGUCAAUGGGCGAGAGCCUGAACCAGCCAAGUAGCGUGAAGGAUGAAGGCUCUAUGGGUCGUAAACUUCUUUUAUAUGGGAAUAAAGUUUUCCACGUGUGGAAUUUUGUAUGUACCAUAUGAAUAAGGAUCGGCUAACUCCGUGCCAGCAGCCGCGGUAAUACGGAGGAUCCGAGCGUUAUCCGGAUUUAUUGGGUUUAAAGGGAGCGUAGGUGGAUUGUUAAGUCAGUUGUGAAAAUUUGCGGCUCAACCGUAAAAUUGCAGUUGAAACUGGCAGUCUUGAGUACAGUAGAGGUGGGCGGAAUUCGUGGUGUAGCGGUGAAAUGCUUAGAUAUCACGAAGAACUCCGAUUGCGAAGGCAGCUCACUAGACUGUCACUGACACUGAUGCUCGAAAGUGUGGGUAUCAAACAGGAUUAGAUACCCUGGUAGUCCACACAGUAAACGAUGAAUACUCGCUGUUUGCGAUAUACAGUAAGCGGCCAAGCGAAAGCAUUAAGUAUUCCACCUGGGGAGUACGCCGGCAACGGUGAAACUCAAAGGAAUUGACGGGGGCCCGCACAAGCGGAGGAACAUGUGGUUUAAUUCGAUGAUACGCGAGGAACCUUACCCGGGCUUAAAUUGCAACAGAAUAUAUUGGAAACAGUAUAGCCGUAAGGCUGUUGUGAAGGUGCUGCAUGGUUGUCGUCAGCUCGUGCCGUGAGGUGUCGGCUUAAGUGCCAUAACGAGCGCAACCCUUAUCUUUAGUUACUAACAGGUUAUGCUGAGGACUCUAGAGAGACUGCCGUCGUAAGAUGUGAGGAAGGUGGGGAUGACGUCAAAUCAGCACGGCCCUUACGUCCGGGGCUACACACGUGUUACAAUGGGGGGUACAGAAGGCGGCUACCUGGUGACAGGAUGCUAAUCCCAAAAACCUCUCUCAGUUCGGAUCGAAGUCUGCAACCCGACUUCGUGAAGCUGGAUUCGCUAGUAAUCGCGCAUCAGCCAUGGCGCGGUGAAUACGUUCCCGGGCCUUGUACACACCGCCCGUCAAGCCAUGAAAGCCGGGGGUACCAGAAGUACGUAACCGCAAGGAGCGUCCUAGGGU
Molecule: ribosomal RNA, 1435 nt
Filed under: uncultured organism
Description: SSU rRNA
Rfam family: Bacterial small subunit ribosomal RNA
Source: RNAcentral